This 351-nucleotide ribosomal RNA is filed under the name Shinella sp. CL2.14. RNAcentral's name for it is "bacterial SSU rRNA". It matches the Rfam family "Bacterial small subunit ribosomal RNA", at positions 106 to 492 of the family's 1533-position model. Lineage: Bacteria; Pseudomonadati; Pseudomonadota; Alphaproteobacteria; Hyphomicrobiales; Rhizobiaceae. The record is from RNAcentral.
GUGAGUAACGCGUGGGAAUCUACCCAACUCUACGGAAUAACUCAGGGAAACUUGUGCUAAUACCGUAUACGCCCUUCGGGGGAAAGAUUUAUCGGAGUUGGAUGAGCCCGCGUUGGAUUAGCUAGUUGGUGGGGUAAAGGCCUACCAAGGCGACGAUCCAUAGCUGGUCUGAGAGGAUGAUCAGCCACAUUGGGACUGAGACACGGCCCAAACUCCUACGGGAGGCAGCAGUGGGGAAUAUUGGACAAUGGGCGCAAGCCUGAUCCAGCCAUGCCGCGUGUGUGAUGAAGGCCUUAGGGUUGUAAAGCACUUUCACCGGAGAAGAUAAUGACGGUAUCCGGAGAAGAAGCC